Molecule: ribosomal RNA, 247 nt
Filed under: uncultured bacterium
Lineage: Bacteria
Description: partial 16S ribosomal RNA
Source: RNAcentral
CUGCUGCCUCCCGUAGGAGUUUGGGCCGUGUCUCAGUCCCAAUGUGGCCGGUCACCCUCUCAGGUCGGCUACUGAUCGUCGCCUUGGUGGGCUGUUAUCUCACCAACUAGCUAAUCAGAUGCGGGCCCAUCCUGCACCGAAUAAAUCCUUUCUUUCCCAGAAGAUGCCUCCCAGGAACCGUAUGCGGUAUUAGUCAUCGUUUCCAAUGAUUAUUCCCCAGUGCAGGGCAGGUUGCCCACACGUUACU